RNAcentral lists this non-coding RNA (280 nucleotides) under Phascolarctos cinereus (koala). The record is from RNAcentral. Lineage: Eukaryota; Metazoa; Chordata; Mammalia; Diprotodontia; Phascolarctidae.
GCCGUGUAAUCCUACCUACUGUGAAGGCUAAGGCUUGCAGAUAUCCUGAGCUCAGGAAUUCUUAGCUGCAAUGGCCUAUGCCAAUCAGGUGUCUGCACCAAGUUCAGCAUUAAUGUGGUUAGCCCCUAAGAUUGAAGGCCCAUCAAGUUGUCUGAGGUGGGAUGAACUGGCCCAGGUCAGAAAUAAGUGGGUCAGAGAUUCCAUGCCAGUCAGUAGUGGGAUCAGUUUUAUGAAAACCCCUGUAUUUUCUGCCUGGAGGAAAUAGAGAGACCCAUUCUUA